UACGAAGGGGGCUAGCGUUGCUCGGAAUCACUGGGCGUAAAGCGCACGUAGGCGGAUUGCUAAGUCAGGGGUGAAAUCCUGGAGCUCAACUCCAGAACUGCCUUUGAUACUGGCGACCUUGAGUCCGGGAGAGGUGAGUGGAACUGCGAGUGUAGAGGUGAAAUUCGUAGAUAUUCGCAAGAACACCAGUGGCGAAGGCGGCUCACUGGCCCGGUACUGACGCUAAGGCGCGAAAGCGUGGGGAGCAAACAGG
Molecule: ribosomal RNA, 253 nt
Filed under: uncultured bacterium
Lineage: Bacteria
Description: partial 16S ribosomal RNA
Rfam family: Bacterial small subunit ribosomal RNA
Source: RNAcentral